CAGAAUCCUGAGGGGUAAGCAGAUGG
This 26-nucleotide non-coding RNA is filed under the name Rattus norvegicus (Norway rat). The record is from RNAcentral. Lineage: Eukaryota; Metazoa; Chordata; Mammalia; Rodentia; Muridae.